CCAGUGUGCCUCCUGCCUGCCUUGGAGGUAGCCUUACUCCCUGGGACGCGUCCAAGAAACUGAAAGCAAUAGGCAGAUUUGGAUUUCAGCUCCUCACCUGACGGAUGACCCCAGCCUGCUCUGCUAUGAGAUGGAGCACACCAGUGAUUACUGUAAAAGGCUGUUGUGAAGGUUCCAGGAAGUAUUCCUGAAGUUCCUGGCCACUGGCUCACAUGUACAAGAUACUGAGUCUAAACAUACCGCACAAUGCUGUCAGGGAUUGCUAUGGAUAGCCAACUCCAUUCUGCUAAACAAAACCAGUAAUUUGGAAAAAUUACAGCCCUGGAUGCCAUCGUUGGCACCACAAGGACGACCUCCCUGCUAACUGUUAAAAAAAGAAAAAAAAAAAAUUGGCGGCACACCAGGCCAAGGAAGGCCUCUGUAAAUUCAUCCCAAUGCCAACCAAGGUGCCACCUGACCACCCAAAAUGCUCCUCCUUGCCACCUCAUUUUUGUUCACCAGGAGCAGCAGAGACACCCACUGUUGUUGACAGUGGACAUACGACUUACAUUUUCAGGAAUUUAACUCAGGCUGUCCCCAAUCCUUGGGAGAACAAAGUCCCUCUUGGUGCAUUCAUCUUUAAUCAGAUGGCAUAAAAUUUUUCUACCUCAAUCUGCGCCUCCUCAAUUAUUUCCAAGUAUUUCCACAAGGCACCCACUUCUCCCAAGAUAUUUUAAUGCCGUUCGUGUCGAAAUAUGGGCAAUGGCUCUUGUAGAAUCCAUGGACACAUAGGCCAACUGUCCAGAUUCCUGGACUCCAUCAGAGACCUGCUGCGUGGCCUCUCAAGGACCAGGGCGUGUUUCUCUCUUGCAGCCCAACCACAGACACUUCCUGAGAUGGAGGUAUGGCUCAUGCAGUGACAGGUCCAUCACUGCAGGGUGUGGGAAGUGGGAUGCCCGACGACAUCACCCCAGUCCCUGCGAUCUGCACGUGCUGUCGCCUUGUGUGGCAAAAGGGUCUUUGCAGCUGUCCAUAGGACUAUGGAACCUGAAAAUAGAUUGUCUUGGGUUAUUCAGGUGGGCCCUAUUUAACCACAGGGGCCUUUGAAAGCAGACAGUUUCCCUGGGCCAAAGGCAGGGAAAGGGGCACAGAGAGUCCACAUGGGAGAGGCUCUUGACCUGACAUUGCAGCAGGGGCCACGUGGAAACUGAUGGGGAAUGUGGGGGCCUCUAGAGGAAAAGACCAGUCCUGGCUGAGGAAAUGGUGCCUGUAUCAGAGGACAGGACACACUGGAGAAAGCAGUACCCGGCUGAGGACACGGAGGAUACCCAAAUCAGAGGAUGGGAUGGACCAGAGGAGGCAGGGACUCAGUCCCACUGCUACAAGAACUGAAUUCAGCCAGCACCCUGGGGAGCGCCUCCUUCCCUGGAGUCUCUGGUAAAUAAUGCAGCCCUGCAGGAGACUUGAGCUCAGCCCAUGAGAUCCUGUGCCGAGGACACAGCGGAGCCCACACUGACUUCCAAUCUAUAGAACAGUGAGAGACGAUAAAGCUCUGCGGUUUGAAGCUGACAAGUUGGUGGUGAUUGGUUAAGGCAGCAGAAGAAAAUGAGAUUAAACAGUAACGUUCUAUGGACUAAUGGUGAGAAUCAACCUGCAGAGAGGACUCAGGGGCCCAGGCUCACCUCCUCCCAGUCACCAAGGAGCAGGCACUUAGGUCAAAUUCCUUCCCGAGUUAAUCCUGGUAAAAUGAAGAGGCCACCCCAGGAAUACAGCUCUUAACGGGUAGAAGUCAGAGAAAAGAAAUCUUCCCAUCCGAACAGUCAUCCCCACCGUGAGCAUGUGCACCCGCAGGACUCCCAGGUUGCAAUCCUCUUCUGAAAGUCCCCGAGGGGUUCCGGUCUGUAGUCGGCCCCAUCCUCGAUUUGGGGCACCUGAGUCGACACUGGGCUUGUGUCUGGAACUGGAUUUGUCAAAUACUCACCAGCCCUUCCCAGGGACCCUUUUCCUCCAGUCUCUGGCUGGUGUAUGAAGUGCCUGAGAAGCAAAUGUGGACAGUAGAGCGUGCCUAGCACCAGAGCCCAGAUAUGACUGAUCUCCAGCUUUGAUGAUGCCAAGAAUUCUUGCAUUCGUCCUCAUGUGCUAGAUCUCAACGCCAUUCGGAGUGGAUCCUGCAUCCAUGUGAGAUGUGGGUGUUGAGCGUGGGCCAUCAUCCUGGGGCCCACGGUGGCUGUGCUUCCUGAGCCCUAUUCCUCUGCCUCGGUCUGGGUGCUUCCCACUUCAGGCUGUGCUGCGGAUAUCUCCUUGUGCUUCUGCACAAGGCCCCACUAGGUUUUGAUGACUUAAGGGAACACAGUAUCUUGGAUCAAUAAUAAGACAUUCGGGGGUAUUUUAAGUCCAUCAGAUCUUGCUCAUGGGUACAGUUCCUGGCGUGAAGCCCAGGACUCUGUGGAUGUAACAAGUGUCUCCAGGUGGCUCUGGACAGUGAGGGGAUAUUUGAGAACCUCUGCCCAAGGGAUCCGUGACUACUCCAGGGAUCUGUGGCUGUCAUGAGCGUCUCCAGGUGGUCCUGGGCCAUGGGGGGAUCACUGAGGACCACUGCUCAAGGGAUCCGUGACUACUCCAGGACUCUGUGUCUGUCAUAAGCAACUCCAGGUGGCCCUGAGCAGUGGGGAGAUCAUUGAGGACCACUGCUCAAGGGAUCUGCUCCAGGGAUCUGUGGCUGUCACAAGCAUCUCCAGGUGGCCCUGGGCCCUGGGGGGAUCACUGAGGACUACUGCUCAAGGGAUGCUUUCUUAUUCCCUCGGCCCCAGCCAGAAUAUCCCACGCAAGCUGGGUGAUUCUGAUAAACACAGUUCUCACUCCAGUACAAAUGACUGAUGACUUGUGAAAACUUGUCACACUCCUGACCUCAGAGAGUGAACAAAUGGGCCUUUUCCACAAGAAAGAAAGCAGGGAAAGUGGCAGAGAGAGUCCACGUGGGAUAGGCUCAUAGCAGAGCCUCAGUGGUCCUGGCCAACCCCUGUCCUGGGCUCCCCCCAGCAUCUUCGCUCACUGGCCUGUACCACCUGCUCACAGCCCACAUGUUAGCAGAGUCUGAUGCACGGGCAGGCAGGAAACACACCACUGGGGCUGAACCCUGUGAUUUUAUGCUCUGAAGAGCUUGCCUGUGGGAACCAAUCCCCUAAAAUUGGAUGUUUUCUUUUAUAUUGAAAAACAAUAAAAAGGACAGUUAAAAAUCAAUUGAGUGUUUGACCCACAUGUAAAUGAAAGAAACUUCAGUUCUGUCCCAUGGGAACAGUGCCCCCAGAUUAGGGUGGA
RNAcentral lists this long non-coding RNA (3297 nucleotides) under Homo sapiens (human). RNAcentral describes it as "HSALNT0157389". The record is from RNAcentral. Lineage: Eukaryota; Metazoa; Chordata; Mammalia; Primates; Hominidae.